Molecule: ribosomal RNA, 492 nt
Filed under: uncultured bacterium
Lineage: Bacteria
Description: partial 16S ribosomal RNA
Rfam family: Bacterial small subunit ribosomal RNA
Source: RNAcentral
AGUGAACGCUGGCGGUAGGCCUAACGCAUGCAAGUCGAACGGCAGCACAGUAAGAGCUUGCUCUUACGGGUGGCGAGUGGCGGACGGGUGAGGAAUACAUCGGAAUCUACUUUUUCGUGGGGGAUAACGUAGGGAAACUUACGCUAAUACCGCAUACGACCUACGGGUGAAAGCAGGGGAUCUUCGGACCUUGCGCGAUUGAAUGAGCCGAUGUCGGAUUAGCUAGUUGGCGGGGUAAAGGCCCACCAAGGCGACGAUCCGUAGCUGGUCUGAGAGGAUGAUCAGCCACACUGGAACUGAGACACGGUCCAGACUCCUACGGGAGGCAGCAGUGGGGAAUAUUGGACAAUGGGCGCAAGCCUGAUCCAGCCAUACCGCGUGGGUGAAGAAGGCCUUCGGGUUGUAAAGCCCUUUUGUUGGGAAAGAAAAGCAGCAGGUUAAUACCCCGCUGUUCCGACGGUACCCAAAGAAUAAGCACCGGCUAACUUCGUG